CUACGGGUUGCAGCAGUGGGGAAUAUUGCACAAUGGGCGCAAGCCUGAUGCAGCCAUGCCGCGUGUGUGAAGAAGGCCUUCGGGUUGUAAAGCACUUUCAGUUGGGAGGAAAGGUUAGUCGCUAAUAUCGGCUAGCUGUGACGUUACCAACAGAAGAAGCACCGGCUAACUCCGUGCCAGCAGCCGCGGUAAUACGGAGGGUGCGAGCGUUAAUCGGAAUUACUGGGCGUAAAGCGUACGCAGGCGGUUUGUUAAGCUAGAGGUGAAAGCCCCGGGCUCAACCUGGGAACUGCAUUUAGAACUGGCAAACUAGAGUGUGAUAGAGGGUGGUAGAAUUUCAGGUGUAGCGGUGAAAUGCGUAGAGAUCUGAAGGAAUACCGAUGGCGAAGGCAGCCACCUGGGUCAACACUGACGCUCAUGUACGAAAGCGUGGGGAGCAAACAGGAUUAGAUACCCCCGUAGUC
This 464-nucleotide ribosomal RNA is filed under the name uncultured bacterium. Its description in RNAcentral is "partial 16S ribosomal RNA". It matches the Rfam family "Bacterial small subunit ribosomal RNA", at positions 339 to 795 of the family's 1533-position model. The record is from RNAcentral.